UGAGUAACACGUAUCCAACCUGCCGUCUACUCUUGGACAGCCUUCUGAAAGGAAGAUUAAUACAAGAUGGCAUCAUGAGUCCACAUGUUCACAUGAUUAAAGGUAUUCCGGUAGACGAUGGGGAUGCGUUCCAUUAGAUAGUAGGCGGGGUAACGGCCCACCUAGUCUUCGAUGGAUAGGGGUUCUGAGAGGAAGGUCCCCCACAUUGGAACUGAGACACGGCCAA
This 226-nucleotide ribosomal RNA is filed under the name uncultured bacterium. RNAcentral describes it as "partial 16S ribosomal RNA". It matches the Rfam family "Bacterial small subunit ribosomal RNA", at positions 107 to 334 of the family's 1533-position model. The record is from RNAcentral.